AUAAUAUGGACUAUGGAAUAAUAAUAAAAAUAAAAGUUAUAGAUUUUUCCUAAUUAAUAAUUAUUCCAUAUACUAAUUUCCUAAUUUAUAUUUGAGGAUGACACGUGGCAAGCACAGAGGGUGCCAUUAGUUUUAUACUAAUUUCCAUAUGCUAAUUAUUCCGUAUACUAAUUUUCUAAUUAAUAAUUAUUUUCUAAUCUAUUUACUAUAUACUACAUUUGAAGAUGACACGUGGCAAGCCUAGAAGGUGCCACGUGUCAGUUUUAUACGAAGUGAUCACCCAGGGUUCUACUUUAGUAUAUAGUAAAUAGAUGAGGUUGUUAGAAUUAGACGUGAAUUAUUAUAAUUUUAAUUAUUUGAUUGUUAAAUUUGUAUUGAUAGAUUAUUAGAAUUUUCAGAUUGUUUUAAGAUUAUAUGUGAUUUGUCGAAAUUUUUAUGUAUUUGUUAGAAUUAUAUAUGAUAUAUAGAAAGAAAGGGUAAAUAAACAAAAGACGAUGAAUGAUUUAUAGAUUUGAUGGAAAAUUAAAAAUGUAGUAAAUCGUUAACCGUCUUUAUAAAAGAAAUGAAUUGUUCAUCGUUUUUAAGAAAAGAAUUUAACGUGACAAAAAAAAAAAAAUUAUAAAGAAAUUUAUAAAAUUAUUUAUUUAAUUGAAAAUUUUAAUAAGGUGAAAAAAAG
This 676-nucleotide long non-coding RNA is filed under the name Ananas comosus (pineapple). Its description in RNAcentral is "long non-coding RNA (ACOM_LNC031657)". Lineage: Eukaryota; Viridiplantae; Streptophyta; Magnoliopsida; Poales; Bromeliaceae. The record is from RNAcentral.